Molecule: ribosomal RNA, 434 nt
Filed under: uncultured Blautia sp.
Lineage: Bacteria; Bacillati; Bacillota; Clostridia; Lachnospirales; Lachnospiraceae
Description: partial 16S ribosomal RNA
Rfam family: Bacterial small subunit ribosomal RNA
Source: RNAcentral
ACGGGAGGCAGCAGUGGGGAAUAUUGCACAAUGGGGGAAACCCUGAUGCAGCGACGCCGCGUGAAGGAAGAAGUAUCUCGGUAUGUAAACUUCUAUCAGCAGGGAAGAUAAUGACGGUACCUGACUAAGAAGCCCCGGCUAACUACGUGCCAGCAGCCGCGGUAAUACGUAGGGGGCAAGCGUUAUCCGGAUUUACUGGGUGUAAAGGGAGCGUAGACGGAAUGGCAAGUCUGGUGUGAAAGGCAUGGGCUCAACCCGUGGACUGCACUGGAAACUGUCGUUCUUGAGUGCCGGAGGGGUAAGCGGAAUUCCUAGUGUAGCGGUGAAAUGCGUAGAUAUUAGGAGGAACACCAGUGGCGAAGGCGAUCUACUGGACGAUAACUGACGCUGAGGCGCGAAAGCGUGGGGAGCAAACAGGAUUAGAUACCCUGGUA